GAUGAACGCUGGCGGCGUGCCUAAUACAUGCAAGUCGAGCGAACGGACGAGAAGCUUGCUUCUCUGAUGUUAGCGGCGGACGGGGGAGUAAAACGUGGAUAACCUACCUAUAAGACUGGGAUAACUUCGGGAAACCGGAGCUAAUACCGGAUGAUAUUUUGAACCGCAUGGUUCAAAAGUGAAAGACGGUCUUGCUGUCACUUAUAGAUGGAUCCGCGCUGCAUUAGCUAGUUGGUAAGGUAACGGCUUACCAAGGCAACGAUGCAUAGCCGACCUGAGAGGGUGAUCGGCCACACUGGAACUGAGACACGGUCCAGACUCCUACGGGAGGCAGCAGUAGGGAAUCUUCCGCAAUGGGCGAAAGCCUGACGGAGCAACGCCGCGUGAGUGAUGAAGGUCUUCGGAUCGUAAAACUCUGUUAUUAGGGAAGAACAUAUGUGUAAGUAACUGUGCACAUCUUGGCGGUACCUAAUCAGAAAGCCACGGCUAACUACGUG
RNAcentral lists this ribosomal RNA (497 nucleotides) under uncultured bacterium. Its description in RNAcentral is "partial 16S ribosomal RNA". It matches the Rfam family "Bacterial small subunit ribosomal RNA", at positions 28 to 507 of the family's 1533-position model. The record is from RNAcentral.